AAUUUUGAAUAUAAAUAAGAAGGAAAUUUAUAAAAAUUAUUAGGUAGAAUUUUAAUUUUUAAAAAUAACAACGCUUUUUAUUCAAGAAAAGUAUGAUAAGGACCAGGAUUAGAUACCCUGUUACUCAUAAUAAAAAAUUUUUGGAAUAGUAUUAUUUAUGAAAUUUAACGGAUUUGGCGGCAAGAUAGCCACUUAGAGGAACCUGCCCUGUAAACGAUGAGCCACGAUUAACCUUACUUUUAUUAGGAUUCAGUUUGUAUACCGCUGUUGUCAGUUAGUUUCCUUAGAAAACUUUCGUACAUGAAAAAUUCAAGGACUUCAAGUAAAGGUGCAGCUUAUGUAAAAGAUAGAGGUGGGUUACAAUUAAAAGAAUAAUAUGGAUAAAGUAAAGAAAAAACUUUUGAAGGUGGAUUUAAUAGUAAAGUUUAAUAAGACUUGAUUAGAGCUCUAUCUUGUGUACACACCGCCCGUCGCUCUCUUUUUUAAAC
This 488-nucleotide ribosomal RNA is filed under the name Wanella milleporae. RNAcentral's name for it is "partial small subunit ribosomal RNA". The stretch from base 143 to 488 matches the Rfam family "Microsporidia small subunit ribosomal RNA", at positions 751 to 1216 of the family's 1311-position model. Lineage: Eukaryota; Metazoa; Arthropoda; Thecostraca; Balanomorpha; Balanidae. The record is from RNAcentral.